Molecule: long non-coding RNA, 410 nt
Organism: Mauremys mutica (yellowpond turtle)
Lineage: Eukaryota; Metazoa; Chordata; Testudines; Geoemydidae
Exons: 4
Source: RefSeq, a predicted model, not a curated record
GUGAUUGCUGGACCCAGGCUAAAAGGAGAUUAGUCUGUAAAAGGGAGCAUUCUGGAACUGUGCUUCCCCUCUACAGAUAGUUUCGUUUGAAUAGCUGGCUGGACUGAGGCUUUAUCUGCACUUAAAAUGCUACAGCGGCACAGGUUCUCCCAUUGCUGAAGCAAUACUGCUACCAUCUGGAAGCUGCUAGCCUGGACCAGCUCAUUCUUCCAAAUCCUAAAUGGACAACUAUUCUCCAAUAGAUUCAGCAAUACAGGAGUGCAUCAUUUUCCCCAAGCCAGGAAGACACACCCUAUCCUCUUGGAUGAGGACCUGGCCAGCAUGAUCCACGCAUUCAACUCCAGAUGAGACUUCUGCAGUAUCUGGAAACUGAAAUCUGUGCAGUAUGUAGCAGCACACGUAUUAGCCAA